CAGCAGCCGCGGGAAUACGAAGGGGGCUAGCGUUGUUCGGAUUUACUGGGCGUAAAGGGCGCGUAGGCGGACUGAUAAGUCAGGGGUGAAAUCCCAAGGCUCAACCUUGGAACUGCCUUUGAUACUGUUUGUCUUGAGUUCGAGAGAGGUAAGUGGAACUGCGAGUGUAGAGGUGAAAUUCGUAGAUAUUCGCAAGAACACCAGUGGCGAAGGCGGCUUACUGGCUCGAAACUGACGCUGAGGCGCGAAAGCGUGGGGAGCAAACAGGAUUAGAUACCCGUGUAGUCCCUGUCUCUUAUAC
Molecule: ribosomal RNA, 301 nt
Filed under: uncultured bacterium
Lineage: Bacteria
Description: partial 16S ribosomal RNA
Rfam family: Bacterial small subunit ribosomal RNA
Source: RNAcentral